GAUGAACGCUAGCGACAGGCUUAACACAUGCAAGUCGAGGGGAAACAACAUCGAAAUCUUGCUUUUGAUGUGCGGCCACCGGCGCACGGGAGAGGAACGCGUAUCCAACCUGCCCACCACUUAGGGAUAACCUUGCGAAAGUAAGACUAAUACCCAAUGACGUCUCUAUAAGACAUCUGAAAGAGAUGAAAUAUUUAUCGGUGAUGGAUGGGGAUGCGUCUGAUUAGCUUGUUGGCGGGGUAACGGCAUACCAAGGCGACGAUCAGUAGCGGUUCUGAGAGGAAGGUCCCCUAGAACGGAGCUGAGACACAGACCACAAUGGUAGGGGAGGCAGGAGUAAGGAAUACUAGUCAAUGGAGGAGGAUCUGACAACGCCACGUAGCGUGCAGGAUGCCGGGCCUAUGGGUUGUAUGCUACUUUUAUAAGGGAAUAAAGUGAGUAUCGUGAGACUUUUUGAAGGUACCUUAUGAAUAAGGACCGGCUAACUCCGUG
RNAcentral lists this ribosomal RNA (492 nucleotides) under uncultured bacterium. RNAcentral's name for it is "partial 16S ribosomal RNA". It matches the Rfam family "Bacterial small subunit ribosomal RNA", at positions 28 to 507 of the family's 1533-position model. The record is from RNAcentral.